This 156-nucleotide ribosomal RNA is filed under the name Pyramidobacter sp. C12-8. RNAcentral describes it as "partial 23S ribosomal RNA". It matches the Rfam family "Bacterial large subunit ribosomal RNA", at positions 1 to 157 of the family's 2925-position model. Lineage: Bacteria; Thermotogati; Synergistota; Synergistia; Synergistales; Dethiosulfovibrionaceae. The record is from RNAcentral.
AGGUUAAGGUAGAAAGGGCAUACGACGGAUGCCUAGGCACUUACAGCCGACGAAAGACGCAGCAAGCGGCGAAACGCCGCGGGGAGCCGCAAGCAGGCCUUGAUCCGCGGAUAUCUGAAUGGGGCAACCCCACGGGUGCAGACCCGUGACUCCGUA